GAACGCACAUUGCGGCCAUAGGUAUUCCUUUGGCCAUGCCUGUUCGAGCGUCAUUUACACCCUCAAGCCUAGCUUGGUGUUGGGCGUCUGUCCCGCCGUUCUCGCGCGCGGACUCGCCUCAAAGUCAUUGGCGGCGGUCGUGCCGGCCCCCUCGCGCAGCACAUUUGCGCUUCUCGGAGGCCCGGCGGAUCCGCGCUCCAGCAAGACCUUUCACGACUUGACCUCGGAUCAGGUAGGGAUACCCGCUGAACUUAAG
Molecule: unclassified non-coding RNA, 256 nt
Filed under: uncultured Dothideomycetes
Lineage: Eukaryota; Fungi; Ascomycota; Dothideomycetes
Description: sequence contains 5.8S rRNA gene
Source: RNAcentral